RNAcentral lists this ribosomal RNA (231 nucleotides) under uncultured bacterium. RNAcentral describes it as "partial 16S ribosomal RNA". It matches the Rfam family "Bacterial small subunit ribosomal RNA", at positions 103 to 334 of the family's 1533-position model. The record is from RNAcentral.
CGGGUGAGUAACACGUAUCCAACCUGCCGUCUACUCUUGGACAGCCUUCUGAAAGGAAGAUUAAUACAAGAUGGCAUCAUGAGUCCGCAUGUUCACAUGAUUAAAGGUAUUCCGGUAGACGAUGGGGAUGCGUUCCAUUAGAUAGUAGGCGGGGUAACGGCCUACCUAGUCUUCGAUGGAUAGGGGUUCUGAGAGGAAGGUCCCCCACAUUGGAACUGAGACACGGUCCAA